This 334-nucleotide ribosomal RNA is filed under the name Calvisia leopoldi. RNAcentral describes it as "partial small subunit ribosomal RNA". The record is from RNAcentral. Lineage: Eukaryota; Metazoa; Arthropoda; Insecta; Phasmatodea; Lonchodidae.
UCUUUAAACCUAAAGAAUUUGGCGGUAUUUUAGUCUAUUUAGAGGAAUUUGUCCCGUGAUCGAUAUACCCCGUUGUAUCUUCCUUAUUUUUGUUAUCAGUUUGUAUAUCGCUGUUAUAAGUUUAUUUUUUUAGAAUUAUUAAUUUACUUAAUUUAUAAUAUUAAAUUAUUUCAAGUCAAGGUGCAGCUAAUAUUUAAGUGGUGAUGAAUUACAAUAUUUUAUAUUUGGAUUUUGAUUUUUAAAAUAUCGAUGAAAUUGGAUUUAAUAGUAAUUUUUUUAAUAAUAUUAAUUUGAUAUUAGCUCUAAAAUAAGUACACAUCGCCCGAUCGCUCUA